Molecule: ribosomal RNA, 253 nt
Filed under: uncultured bacterium
Lineage: Bacteria
Description: partial 16S ribosomal RNA
Rfam family: Bacterial small subunit ribosomal RNA
Source: RNAcentral
UACGAAGGGGGCGAGCGUUGUUCGGAUUUACUGGGCGUAAAGGGCGCGCAGGCGGCUUGUUUUGUCAGGCGUGAAAGCCCCGGGCUUAACCUGGGAACUGCGUUUGAUACGGACGGGCUAGAGUUCGGGAGAGGAGAGUGGAAUUCCCAGUGUAGAGGUGAAAUUCGCAGAUAUUCGGAGGAACACCAGUGGCGAAGGCGGCCAACUGGAUCGGUAUUGACGCUCAUGUACGAAAGCGUGGGGAUCAAACAGG